UUAAAGGCCCUCUGGUCCUUUUUCUUUCUUAUUUUAUUUACAUUUCAGUUUUCCCCUUGUUUGUCCUGUUUUGUACCUCUCCUCCCCUUUGUAUCCUACCCUCCCCCCCCUUCAAUUACUCCUACUGUUUUGAGUGUUGUAUUGCCGGCUAGCCCUUGAGGCGCGGCAGGCAUUGCAUUGUCGCGUGUUUGUCUGACUGUAUUUUCCUUGUCCCUAUCCACCUUGUAUUUGUUAGUUCACCCCCUAAAAACUGCCUUUUGUUUCUGUUUCUUGUUUUGUGUCGCCAACUGGGGGACCUUUGCUGGCCGGCUUGCUGGCUGGUUGGCUUGGCCUGGUCUGCUGGCGGGGCUCGCUAGCUGGCUAGCUUGGCCUGGUCUGCUGGUGGGGCUCGCUGGCUGGUGGGCCUGGUCUGCUGGUGAGGCUUGCUAGCUGGUUUGGCCUGGUCUGCUGGCGAGGCUUGCUAGCUGGUUGGCUUGGCCUGGUCUGCUGGUGAGGCUCGCUAGCUGGUUGGCUUGGCCUGGUCUGCUGGUGAGGCUGGCUAGCUCUCUCGGCCCUCAAGCUUGGCAGGGUUUUGUGUUGGUCAGUGCCCCUUUUGUUUUCUCCUUAUUUUCCCCUCACCUAAAUUUGUUUGUUAGUUUGCCCCUCCCCCGCACCUUGUUUGGUUUUUGUCUAUUUUUGUCCUUCCCCUUCGUGUCUUUAAUUAUAAAAAUAUAAAAAUAUCCCAAAAAAAUAUCCUUGUGUCCCUUCCCAUUGUUGAUAAGAUUAGUUUGGUGCUGUGCUAGAUAGUUUGUUGUGUGUCCCGUGCUACUGGUAGGACCUGUUCAGCACAGCCUGGCUGAGCCUGCUAGUUCCUCGGCUGUUUUACACCCCCCUCCUUCUUCUCCCUCCCCCCCUCUUCCCCCUUUCACUGGUGUUGGGCUGUAAAGGGAGUGGGCCUCCAUCAUGUCAGCAGCACAGGCUGGCAUGAGGAGGCACCAUGCAGUGCGCCUCCUUCUAAAGGAGAAGGGAGGAAAAAUAAUGGAGUUAUCCCGAUUGGAUUUCUCCAGAAAAUUCCUCCAGAAAGAGCUCGGCUUUCAUCCCGCGCAGGUAAACUGCAUCUUAGCCCUCCCCUAUAGGAAGGGCUUCGAUGUCAGUUUUGCCAACGCCAGCUUCCUGAGGGAGUUCUGGGGGAAACUCCAGAACGCCCUGAACACCCAGGGGUCCCUCACAGCAAUGUUUGAGGUGACCAAGCUGACGGAUAAUAGCAUUAAAACCGUUAUUAUCCGCAUGUACAAUGAAACCGUACAGCCGGAGGACGUUGCAGUAUGGCUGGACAGGUACUGCAACGUGAAGGGCCCCCUGAUCCAGGUAAAAGACCUCGAUGGGAUCUGGACAGGGGCCUGGAGGGUCACUGUCCAGCAAAGGGAGGACCCUGGGGGCUAUGGUGGGUUGAAAGCCAUCCCAUCCACCAUAGUCCUCGGAGAGAACAGGGGCCAUGUUCACUACCAGGACCAGCCCAAGCUGUGCCGUAAGUGUGGUGAACAUGGCCACCUUGCAGACGCCUGUCAGAAGGUCGUCUGCAUGAAGUGCCGGGAGGUGGGCCACCGCUACGAGGAGUGCACGAACGGAAGGUCGUGCAACCUCUGUGGCGAACGGUCCCACCUCAUCCGCGACUGCCCCUCCUCCUGGGCCAACAGGGCCAAGGCGGGAAGGAGGGAGUGGGCGGCCGCGGACCGGGCUUCCGAGCGCCAGAGGGCUGGAACGGCAGUUGCCGAGGUGGUAGUGGAGGAGCCGGUGGUGGUGGAGGAGGAGGCAGUAGUGGUGGUGGAGGAGAUAGUUGUGGAGCCGGUGGUGGUGGUGGUGGCUGUAGUGGAGGGCGCGGAAGGUGUAGUGGUGGAAGAAGUGGGAGGAGAGGACAAAACCCUCCCCACCCCAAUCCCCCUGCCCCAGACUAAUGUGACCCCUGAAGGAGAAAGGGCCGAGAAAGACGGCUCCGGAGAGAUGUUCAGUAAAAGCUCCCCAAGUGGGUCAGAUAUUAUAGGGUCGGUGUCGGAAAGCACCAUGGAGACUGUGUCAGAAGGUACGGGAGAGGAGGGGGAGAUUCUGAAGGAACACCUCCCCCUACGUAAAAGAAACGCUGAGGAGCUCUCUGACCCCGAACAGGGUGAGGAGAAAAAAGGAAAGGUGGAGUGGGAGAGCUCUCAGGGGGAGGAAGAACCCAGAACCUUCCCCUCCAACUCCCCCAAUCAAGUCUCCUUUUUAAGCCCUAUUUUAACCUCCUCUCCCCUCCAAACUCCCUUACCCCGGAGGGAGAGAGAGAAAGUCCCUGAGAACUAACCCCCUUUUAACUGCUCAAUGCUUCUUCUUUUAGCACUGUUUUUACUCACCCCUUUUAUGGCUUUUAAAAUCACCACUAUAAAUGUGAGGAGCGUAAGAACGGUAACAAGAGCACAGUCGGUUUUAUCCUUUUUAGAAAGGUUUAACUCUGAUGUGUUUUUACUACAGGAGUGUGGUCUACCCUUUUUAUCCUCUUACAGGAAAUGGGAGGAUAAGUGGCAGCACGGGCCCUCCAUUUGGAGUGGUUCCAAUUUUAACAAGAACGACGGUGUUGCCAUUUUAAUCAAGACCCCACAGGUGGUGGUGAAGGGGAGCACGGUGGUGGAGCGGGAACCAGUAUGUCCAGUGCGCGGGCUCGCUACAGGUGAGCCCACAACGGUUUGGCGCAACGUGGCCCAUCCUGCUCUACUGAAUCGGCAUCGGGACCUGUCCUGGAUGGUCGCCCACGAGAUCCUCCCGGUCAGGGCCGUUAUGCACUCACGGGGCAUGGCGAGGACAUCCGCGUGCCCCCGAACAGGCUGCGGCCAAGAAGAAUCGGUGAGGCACAUGCUCUGGGAGUGCAGAGCCGCCAGGGACCUGUGGAAGGAAGCAGGCCCCCUGAUUACCUCGUGUCUGCCAGCAGGGGAGGACCUAACACCUCAGCUCGUGCUAUAUGGGGUGGGCCGAAGGCCCAUUUCAUCGAAGACCUUCACCAAGCUCUGGCCCACCCUCACGUGCCUGAAGGAAGCACUGUGGUCCUCCCGCAACCUGCUGGUAGCGAAAAACGUAGAGACCACCCCCCAGGCAGUGGCCAUGGUAGCCACGGAAGCCCUGGGGUGGUACGAAAGGAAGGGGGCCUCGACCCCAGGCGAAGGGUCCCCCACAACACCCUAGGUCCCGGCGGCCACGGCCUGACAGCGCUGCGGCGCCUAGGGCGAUGCGCCUAGGGGAGGGAUCUCCUCUGGGCCCCAAAGGAUGGGACGAUGGUCUAUUCAGAGGAGCAGGAUGAGGUGAGCUUGAUAAAGACUCACCCCGCUCCUGUACAAAGGACUGAAGACAGCUUUUUAACAAAGUGGCUUUUUAACAUGUUUUUCAUGUCUUAAAAAUGUUUUACCUUUUUAGAUCAUUAGUACACAUUUUAAAUGGCUUCUACAGAUUUGAUAUUUUUACAAGGAAAGUACUUUUACUCAUGGUUGUUUUAACUAAUUGAUUUUAACAACAUGUACUUUUUAACAAAUUCAAAUGUAACUCUCAAAUGCUAUGUUUUAUGCCUUGUUGCCGUUUUUAUGUGUGUAAAUGAUGUAAAAAAUGUAUGAGCUGUUUUUAAAGGAAUUGUGCCAAUAAAACUUUUCCAAAAGAAAAAAAAAAA
Molecule: RNA transcript, 3664 nt
Organism: Oncorhynchus kisutch (coho salmon)
Lineage: Eukaryota; Metazoa; Chordata; Actinopteri; Salmoniformes; Salmonidae
Exons: 2
Source: RefSeq, a predicted model, not a curated record